UACGUAGGUGGCAAGCGUUGUCCGGAUUUACUGGGCGUAAAGAGCGCGCAGGCGGUCGUUCAAGUCGCGUGUGAAAGCCCCCGGCUCAACUGGGGAGGGUCACGCGAUACUGAUCGACUCGAAGGCAGGAGAGGGAAGUGGAAUUCCCGGUGUAGUGGUGAAAUGCGUAGAUAUCGGGAGGAACACCAGUGGCGAAGGCGACUUCCUGGCCUGUUCUUGACGCUGAGGCGCGAAAGCCAGGGGAGCGAACGGG
This 253-nucleotide ribosomal RNA is filed under the name uncultured bacterium. RNAcentral's name for it is "partial 16S ribosomal RNA". It matches the Rfam family "Bacterial small subunit ribosomal RNA", at positions 524 to 776 of the family's 1533-position model. The record is from RNAcentral.